CCCAUUUAUCGCGAAACUUGUCCAGAGUCUGAUCAACAACUUUGCCAUGUCAACGUUUAGUUCUCUGUGGUAAUCUUGGGCGGGAAACAUCAAUUUGAAAUCGUCACCGUGCGUAACCCCGACUUCGAAAGGGUACGGGAGUUUGAACGAAAAUGGAUCGUCGACGAGAUAAUCGAACGUAUAGACAAAUUGAACAACUUACGAGAUAGCCGAUGCUGCAGUUGAGGAUUUCGUCGACGGGUAACGCUUUCAUGCAGUUUUUUCUUCUCCUUUUCCGCAAUUAAACAACCUGUACGCUGCCACCUGACAGCCAGCCGUACGAUAUAUCGCGAGAUUUUCCCUGAGUCCCGAAGAAGAAGGUGGGAAAGCUGGGAGGCGGAGGAGAGAGGUGGCC
Molecule: unclassified non-coding RNA, 394 nt
Filed under: Athalia rosae (coleseed sawfly)
Lineage: Eukaryota; Metazoa; Arthropoda; Insecta; Hymenoptera; Athaliidae
Description: misc RNA ENSAEAG00005012980.1
Source: RNAcentral